RNAcentral lists this transfer RNA (81 nucleotides) under Gammaproteobacteria bacterium. RNAcentral describes it as "tRNA-Tyr". It matches the Rfam family "tRNA". Rfam says of the family: Transfer RNA (tRNA) molecules are approximately 80 nucleotides in length. Their secondary structure includes four short double-helical elements and three loops (D, anti-codon, and T loops). Lineage: Bacteria; Pseudomonadati; Pseudomonadota; Gammaproteobacteria. The record is from RNAcentral.
GGGGCUGUAGCCCGAUUGGUAAGGGGCCUGUCUGUAAAACAGGUGCAUGGCAAGUAGGUUCGACUCCUACCAGCCCCACCA